CCGAGUUUACAACUCCCAAACCCCUGUGAACAUACCACUUGUUGCCUCGGCGGAUCAGCCCGCUCCCGGUAAAACGGGACGGCCCGCCAGAGGACCCCUAAACUCUGUUUCUAUAUGUAACUUCUGAGUAAAACCAUAAAUAAAUCAAAACUUUCAACAACGGAUCUCUUGGUUCUGGCAUCGAUGAAGAACGCAGCAAAAUGCGAUAAGUAAUGUGAAUUGCAGAAUUCAGUGAAUCAUCGAAUCUUUGAACGCACAUUGCGCCCGCCAGUAUUCUGGCGGGCAUGCCUGUUCGAGCGUCAUUUCAACCCUCAAGCCCUCGGGUUUGGUGUUGGGGAUCGGCGAGCCCUUGCGGCAAGCCGGCCCCGAAAUCUAGUGGCGGUCUCGCUGCAGCCUCCAUUGCGUAGUAGUAAAACCCUCGCAACUGGAACGCGGCGCGGCCAAGCCGUUAAACCCCCAACUUCUGAAU
Molecule: unclassified non-coding RNA, 469 nt
Filed under: uncultured Fusarium
Lineage: Eukaryota; Fungi; Ascomycota; Sordariomycetes; Hypocreales; Nectriaceae
Description: sequence contains ITS1, 5.8S rRNA gene, ITS2
Rfam family: 5.8S ribosomal RNA (bases 149-302)
Source: RNAcentral